GUAGGUGAACCUGCGGAAGGAUCAUUACAAAUCACGCGAGUCCGUCAGAGCAAAGAGCGAAAGUUUUUGGUUCUGAUGGGAUGAGCACAUUGGCACAAGACUGCAAAGUCUUGAUGUUUACGCUUGUUUGUUUGACAAAGUAAAUUGUGACUAAAAAUAUAGACAACUUUUAACAAUGGAUCUCUUGGCUCUUGCAUCGAUGAAGAACGCAGCAUCUGACUGACUGGAAGCUUGUCUAUCUCGUAUGCCG
Molecule: unclassified non-coding RNA, 250 nt
Filed under: plant metagenome
Description: partial contains small subunit ribosomal RNA, internal transcribed spacer 1, and 5.8S ribosomal RNA
Rfam family: 5.8S ribosomal RNA (bases 165-250)
Source: RNAcentral